UCAGCCUUGAAUUAAAUCACUCUCCGCUAAAUGGAUCUUUGAGACUCACCCUUGGCGCAGGCAGCUGCUGCUUUGCGCGUCUUCAAACCGAAACAGAAAUCUGGAUUUUUCUUUUUUAUUAUUUUCAUUUUUGUACUAUCUGCCAGAAACAUCUCCCCUGUCUUUGAAUAUGUCUUGUGUUCGCGGUGAGAUACAGUAAGCAGACAGCUUUGUAUCGGGAAGAGGCUCUUGCUCUGCGAUCGCUAAGCAGUGGACAUCUGCGGACAUCUGUAUUGCUGGAGGACACCAGGGAUGCUUUCCCUCGCUGAGGAUUUCAACCUAGAUUACAGUGGUUAUUCAUCCAUGCACACCAGAGAGGCACAGGAUGCAGGAAACCGGCAGAAA
RNAcentral lists this long non-coding RNA (384 nucleotides) under Oreochromis niloticus (Nile tilapia). RNAcentral's name for it is "lncRNA (ENSONIG00000042865.1)". The record is from RNAcentral. Lineage: Eukaryota; Metazoa; Chordata; Actinopteri; Cichliformes; Cichlidae.